RNAcentral lists this ribosomal RNA (1149 nucleotides) under Triticum aestivum (bread wheat). RNAcentral describes it as "partial small subunit ribosomal RNA". The record is from RNAcentral. Lineage: Eukaryota; Viridiplantae; Streptophyta; Magnoliopsida; Poales; Poaceae.
AUGGGGACGGGGGCGGUGGCGCCGGAGCGGCCGAAGCAGCGGCGGGGGGGGCACCUGUGGAAGCGCGCGGUGCUCCACUUCUCGCUCUGCUUCGUCAUGGGCUUCUUCACCGGCUUCGCGCCCUCCUCCUCCUCCUCCUGGAGGCCCGGCGGCGGGGCCGGCACGCCGCCGCCGCUUCUCGCGGCGGAGCAGCUCGCCGCGUCCCGUGUCGCCGGCAGCAGGGACCAGCACAUCAGCCUGGCGCCGCCCUCGCCGGAGGGCGCGGCGGCGGCUGGCGGGGGCGGCGCGGUGGUCGACCUGGACGACGACGAGGAGAGCGGCCCGAGGAGGAUGCUGAUAGUGGUUACCACGACCAGGUCCGGGGCCGGGGAGCGGCGGCGCAGGCGGCCGGAGCUGCUGCGGCUCGCCCACACACUGCGCCUGGUGCGCCCCCCGGUCGUCUGGGUGGUGGUGGAGCCGGCGGCCGACGCGCCCGCCACGGCCGAGGUGCUCCGGGGCACCGGGGUCAUGUACCGGCACCUGGCCUUCCGCCCCGAGGAGAACUUCACCACCGCCGCCGCCGAGGCCCACGCGCAGCGCAACGCCGCGCUCGCGCACGUCGAGAAGCACCGUCUCUCCGGCGUCGUCCACUUCGCCGACGCCGCCGGCGUCUACGACACCCACUUCUUCGAGGAGAUCCGCCAGAUCGAGGCGUUUGGGACAUGGCCAGUGGCAACAAUGUCCGCGGGCGAGAAGAAAGUAGUGGUUGAGGGCCCACUGUGCAGCGCCUCGAAGGUAGUCGGCUGGUUCUCGAGGAACUUCAAUGAUGGUACCACCCGUUCAGUGACAUAUAACACUGAGGUUGACUUGAAUCCUGCCGGUGCUGCUGGCACGCGAGCCCACACGAUCGAUGUAUCAGGGUUUGCGUUCAACAGUUCUAUUUUGUGGGACCCUGAGCGAUGGGGACGACCGACGUCAUUACCGGACACUUCACAGGACUCGAUCAAGUUUGUGCAAGAGGUGGUGCUGGAGGACAGGACAAAGCUGAAGGGGAUCCCCUCCGACUGCUCCCAGAUCAUGGUGUGGCAGUAUGAUGUGCCCAGUAGCCCCAACACUCCGAAAACCAAAACCAAAACCGCCACCCCGAAAACCCACCAUAGAAGAAGGUAG